CAAUAUCUCCAUGUGUCCAUUGACACAUGU
RNAcentral lists this non-coding RNA (30 nucleotides) under Mus musculus (house mouse). The record is from RNAcentral. Lineage: Eukaryota; Metazoa; Chordata; Mammalia; Rodentia; Muridae.